Molecule: ribosomal RNA, 375 nt
Filed under: uncultured organism
Description: partial 16S ribosomal RNA
Rfam family: Bacterial small subunit ribosomal RNA
Source: RNAcentral
GUAGGUGGCAAGCGUUGUCCGGAAUUAUUGGGCGUAAAGCGCGCGCAGGCGGGUCCUUUAAGUCUGAUGUGAAAGCCCACGGGCUCAACCGUGGAGGGUCAUUGGAAACUGGGGGGACUUGAGAACAGAAGAGGAAAGCGGAAUUCCAAGUGUAGCGGUGAAAUGCGUAGAGAUUUGGAGGAACACCAGUGGCGAAGGCGGCUUUCUGGUCUGUAACUGACGCUGAGGCGCGAAAGCGUGGGGAGCAAACAGGAUUAGAUACCCUGGUAGUCCACGCCGUAAACGAUGAGUGCUAAGUGUUAGGGGGUUUCCGCCCCUUAGUGCUGCAGCUAACGCAUUAAGCACUCCGCCUGGGGAGUACGGCCGCAAAGGCUG